GAUGAAGAACGUAGCGAAAUGCGAUAAGUAGUGUGAAUUGCAGAAUUCAGUGAAUCAUCGAAUCUUUGAACGCACAUUGCGCCCCUUGGUAUCCCGAGGGGCAUGCCUGUUCGAGCGUCAUUUCACCACUCAAGCCUGGCUUGGUGUUGGGCGACGUCCCCUUUGGGGACGCGCCUCGAAACGCUCGGCGGCGUGGCACCGGCUUUAAGCGUAGCAGAAUCUUUCGCUUUGGAAGUCGGGGCCCCGUCUGCCGGAAGACCUACUCGCAAGGUUGACCUCGGAUCAGGCAGGGAUACCCGCUGAACUUAAGUAUAUCAAUAAGCGGAGGA
This 329-nucleotide unclassified non-coding RNA is filed under the name soil metagenome. Its description in RNAcentral is "partial contains 5.8S ribosomal RNA, internal transcribed spacer 2, and large subunit ribosomal RNA". The stretch from base 1 to 120 matches the Rfam family "5.8S ribosomal RNA", at positions 35 to 154 of the family's 154-position model. The record is from RNAcentral.